Molecule: long non-coding RNA, 438 nt
Organism: Megalopta genalis
Lineage: Eukaryota; Metazoa; Arthropoda; Insecta; Hymenoptera; Halictidae
Source: RefSeq, a predicted model, not a curated record
CGUAACCGCGAGUUCCACAUUCCUGAAGUCAUUUGCUCGGCAGCAUUGAAACACGAAGGUUGGGUCCACAAUAUUUUUGGUGACCUCUGGAACACUCGAUGUUCGAAAAAUUGUAUUCUUGAGAUCUGGUGACUACGUGGAUAGACUAUGCGAAUGGUUGCGAUCAAGUUGCAACGGGUCUGGUUUCGUCAAGGAGCAAAGGAUAUUGUCCGUGUGCUAUUCCUGCGCCUAUACGUGUUACUGCUACGCCAAUGCUAAGGUUCGACGGAGAUUUCUCGGACUAACAAAUCAUAAUGCAAUAACGUUACAUUUUUAACUUUAACGUAUUAAAACUGAAUUGUUUUUAGCACAAUGCUGACAGUUUUCUGAUGAAAAUAAGACCAAGCAUGAUAUAGUUUUGACAGAUAUUUCUGAUUAAUUGAAUAAAUAUGGUCUAAA